UACGAAGGGGGCUAGCGUUGCUCGGAAUUACUGGGCGUAAAGGGCGCGUAGGCGGCGCCGGUAGUCAGGCGUGAAAUCCCCGGGCUCAACCUGGGGGCUGCGCUUGAUACGCCGGUGCUAGAGGGCGGAAGAGGCUCGCGGAAUUCCCAGUGUAGAGGUGAAAUUCGUAGAUAUUGGGAAGAACACCGGUGGCGAAGGCGGCGAGCUGGUCCGUUACUGACGCUGAGGCGCGACAGCGUGGGGAGCAAAC
RNAcentral lists this ribosomal RNA (250 nucleotides) under uncultured bacterium. RNAcentral describes it as "partial 16S ribosomal RNA". It matches the Rfam family "Bacterial small subunit ribosomal RNA", at positions 524 to 773 of the family's 1533-position model. The record is from RNAcentral.